RNAcentral lists this ribosomal RNA (407 nucleotides) under uncultured microorganism. RNAcentral's name for it is "bacterial SSU rRNA". It matches the Rfam family "Bacterial small subunit ribosomal RNA", at positions 509 to 917 of the family's 1533-position model. The record is from RNAcentral.
CAGCCGCCGCGGUAAUACGUAGGGGGCGAGCGUUACCCGGAUUCACUGGGCGUAAAGCGGGUGUAGGCGGCUCGGUAAGUCGAGUGUGAAAUCCCACAGCUCAACUGUGGAAUUGCGCCCGAAACUGCUGAGCUUGGGGCCGGUAGAGGGAGACGGAACUGCCGGUGUAGGGGUGAAAUCCGUAGAUAUCGGCAGGAACGCCGGUGGGGAAGCCGGUCUCCUGGGCCGCGCCCGACGCUGAGACCCGAAAGCUAGGGGAGCAAACCGGAUGAGAUACCCGGGUAGUCCUAGCCGUAAACGAUGCCCACUAGGUGUGGGGGAUUAAUUUCUCCGUGCUGUAGCUAACGCGUUAAGUGGGCCGCCUGGGGAGUACGCCCGCAAGGGUGAAACUUAAAGGAAUUGGCGGG